GGCAUAUUGUUUACCAGAGUUGAUAUGGCGUAUCUUUCACUCGAGCUGACAUUUCAUAAAUUAUUCGUGGCUAAAAUAGUAUAAACAUUAAUUGUGUUUUGGUUUCUUUCAGUUAAAAAUACUAGUGAAAUCGCUAGUGUUUGGCAUACAUGUUUGAUAGAGUACGCACUUAAUAAUAAUAAUAAAUAUAAAAAUAGGUCACACACUUGAAUUGGGAAAAAUAUGGUCACUCACUUGAUAAUUAAAAAUAGAAAAAAAUGC
RNAcentral lists this long non-coding RNA (261 nucleotides) under Sorghum bicolor (sorghum). RNAcentral's name for it is "long non-coding RNA (SBIC_LNC008784)". The record is from RNAcentral. Lineage: Eukaryota; Viridiplantae; Streptophyta; Magnoliopsida; Poales; Poaceae.